This 429-nucleotide ribosomal RNA is filed under the name uncultured Campylobacterales bacterium. RNAcentral describes it as "bacterial SSU rRNA". It matches the Rfam family "Bacterial small subunit ribosomal RNA", at positions 29 to 475 of the family's 1533-position model. The record is from RNAcentral. Lineage: Bacteria; Pseudomonadati; Campylobacterota; Epsilonproteobacteria; Campylobacterales.
AGUGAACGCUGGCGGCGUGCCUAAUACAUGCAAGUCGAACGAACGAAUAAGAGCUUGCUCUUAUAAGUUAGUGGCGCACGGGUGAGUAAUAUAUAGCUAAUCUGCCUCUUAGUAGAGGAUAACAGUCGGAAACGAUUGCUAAUACUCUAUACUUCUGCUUUACAUAAGUAAAGUAGAGAAAGUUUUUCGCUAAGAGAUGAGGCUAUACUGUAUCAGCUAGUUGGUAAGGUAACGGCUUACCAAGGCUAUGACGCAUAACUGGUCUGAGAGGAUGAUCAGUCACAUUGGAACUGAGACACGGUCCAAACUCCUACGGGAGGCAGCAGUAGGGAAUAUUGCGCAAUGGGGGAAACCCUGACGCAGCAACGCCGCGUGGAGGAUGACACUUUUCGGAGCGUAACUCCUUUUAUCGGGAAAGAAUAAUGACGG